This 238-nucleotide long non-coding RNA is filed under the name Cavia porcellus (domestic guinea pig). RNAcentral describes it as "lncRNA (ENSCPOG00000031776.1)". Lineage: Eukaryota; Metazoa; Chordata; Mammalia; Rodentia; Caviidae. The record is from RNAcentral.
GUCUAUCAAACAAAUGAUAAAAGAGAGAUAAGCAGUCAGAAGACUAGUCUCAAAGAGAAAAUUUUACCAGCAUCACAGAACCACAACCAUCAUAAUAACAUCAUAGGGAUUCACAAAAUGGUGUGUUUAACUCUAUUCCAAGAGAAAAUAAUCGCCUUCCCAGCCAAAGAGAAAACUAUCCCAGGAUUUGUACUUCUUACAGAAAUAACUUGACAUAACCCCUGGCUUUUUCUCAUUU